CAGCCGCCGCGGGAAUACGUAGGGUGCAAGCGUUAAUCGGAAUUACUGGGCGUAAAGCGUGCGCAGGCGGUUUGUUAAGACAGAUGUGAAAUCCCCGGGCUCAACCUGGGAACUGCAUUUGUGACUGGCAAGCUAGAGUAUGGCAGAGGGGGGUGGAAUUCCGCGUGUAGCAGUGAAAUGCGUAGAUAUGCGGAGGAACACCGAUGGCGAAGGCAGCCCCCUGGGCCAAUACUGACGCUCAUGCACGAAAGCGUGGGGAGCAAACAGGAUUAGAUACCCCUGUAGUCCCUGUCUCUUAUAC
RNAcentral lists this ribosomal RNA (301 nucleotides) under uncultured bacterium. Its description in RNAcentral is "partial 16S ribosomal RNA". It matches the Rfam family "Bacterial small subunit ribosomal RNA", at positions 509 to 807 of the family's 1533-position model. The record is from RNAcentral.